Molecule: ribosomal RNA, 556 nt
Filed under: Dirkmeia churashimaensis
Lineage: Eukaryota; Fungi; Basidiomycota; Ustilaginomycetes; Ustilaginales; Ustilaginaceae
Description: LSU rRNA
Rfam family: Eukaryotic large subunit ribosomal RNA
Source: RNAcentral
AAACUAACAAGGAUUCCCCUAGUAACGGCGAGUGAAGAGGGAAGAGCCCAAGAUUGAAAGCUGGCGUCUUCGGCGUCCGCAUUGUAAUCUCAAGAAGUGUUUUCCGCUUCGGACCAUGCCUAAGUCCCUUGGAAAAGGGCAUCAUAGAGGGUGAUAAUCCCGUACAUGGCAUGGAGCGCCCGAAGCUUUGUGAUACGCUUUCUAAGAGUCGAGUUGUUUGGGAAUGCAGCUCAAAAUGGGUGGUAAAUGCCAUCUAAGGCUAAAUAUUGGGGAGAGACCGAUAGCGAACAAGUACAGUGAUGGAAAGAUGAAAAGAACUUUGAAAAGAGAGUUAAACAGUACGUGAAAUUGCCAAAAGGGAAGGGUAGGAGGUCAGAGAUGCGGCCUGGGAUUCAGCCUUGCUUUUGCUUGGUGUUUUUCCCAGAUUGCAGGCCAACGUCGGUUUUGGGCACUGGAGAAGGGUAGGAGGAACGUGGCACCUCUCGGGGUGUGUUAUAGCCUCCUACUGGAUACAGCGACCGAGACCGAGGACAGCAGCGUACUCGCAAGAGCGGGC